CAGCUGCGAAGGCAGCCAAAUACGGGGCCAGGCCCGGAGUCGGAGUUGGAGGCAUUCCUACUUACGGGGUUGGAGCUGGGGGCUUUCCCGGCUUUGGUGUCGGAGUCGGAGGUAUCCCUGGAGUCGCAGGUGUCCCUAGUGUCGGAGGUGUUCCCGGAGUCGGAGGUGUCCCGGGAGUUGGCAUUUCCCCCGAAGCUCAGGCAGCAGCUGCCGCCAAGGCUGCCAAGUACGGGUUAGUUCCUGGUGUCGGCGUGGCUCCUGGAGUUGGUGUGGCUCCUGGUGUCGGCGUGGCUCCUGGCGUUGGCGUGGCUCCUGGAGUUGGCGUGGCUCCUGGAGUUGGUGUGGCUCCUGGUGUUGGUGUGGCUCCCGGCGUUGGUGUGGCUCCCGGCGUUGGCGUGGCUCCCGGCAUUGGCCCUGGUGGAGUUGCAGGUGAGUUUCAUGAGUCAAUGAGCCUGAGGGGCCCCCGAAGCCUCCAUGGGCCCCGCCUCCAUCUCUAAUCCCCCUCUCUCUCCCUCCCUCAGCUGCAGCAAAAUCCGCUGCCAAGGUGGCUGCCAAAGCCCAGCUCCGAGCUGCAGCUGGGCUUGGUGCUGGCAUCCCUGGACUUGGAGUUGGUGUCGGCGUCCCUGGACUUGGAGUUGGUGCUGGUGUUCCUGGACUUGGAGUUGGUGCUGGUGUGCCUGGCUUCGGGGCAGUACCUGGAGCCCUGGCUGCCGCUAAAGCAGCCAAAUAUGGAGCAGCAGUGCCUGGGGUCCUUGGAGGGCUCGGGGCUCUCGGUGGAGUAGG
This 783-nucleotide long non-coding RNA is filed under the name Pan troglodytes (chimpanzee). Its description in RNAcentral is "long non-coding RNA NONPTRT016237". The record is from RNAcentral. Lineage: Eukaryota; Metazoa; Chordata; Mammalia; Primates; Hominidae.